Homo sapiens (human) is the source of this 549-nucleotide long non-coding RNA. NCBI's taxonomy places the organism in Eukaryota, Metazoa, Chordata, Mammalia, Primates, Hominidae. The record is from Ensembl.
UUUUUUUUUUUUUUUCCUUUUUUGAGACACCGUCUCGUUCUAUCACCCAGGCUGGAGUGCAGUGGCACAAUCUCAGCUCACUGCAAGCUCUGCUUCCUGGGUUCAUGCCAUCCUCCUGCCUCAGCCUCCUGAGUAGCUGGGAGUAUAGGCACCUGCCACCAUGCCCGGCUAAUUUUUUGUGUUUUUUAGUAGAGACAGGUGGCAGAAGGACAGACAGCAGGUGAACAUCAGGCAGUAUACGGAGAGGAAGAGAGAGAGACACACACAGAGAGAGCCACAUAAGGAGAAGAGGAGGAGGAGGAAUAAGAGGAGAGGGAGGAGGAAAAGGAAGGCGGAGGGGAGAAGGAAGGAGGGAAAGGAGAGAAACAGAAUAAGAGAUAGGAAAAAGAGAGAGUGACACAAGAAGAGAGGAAGAAAGAAUGAAGGAGACAAAUAAGGUAUCUUUAGAGGGAGAUGAAAAGAAAGAAGGAGAGAGAGAGAGAUUGGGGAGCAAUCAGAUUCAAAUAGAUGGAGAUAGGAGGUUAAGCAAGAUGGAAGAAAGCCAAAAAA